GACGAACGCUGGCGGCGUGCUUAACACAUGCAAGUCGAACGGUAAGGCUCCAGCUUGCUGGGGUACACGAGUGGCGAACGGGUGAGUAACACGUGGGUGACCUGCCCUGCACUUCGGGAUAAGCCUGGGAAACUGGGUCUAAUACCGGAUAGGACCGCACCGUGAGGGUGUGGUGGAAAGUUUUUUCGGUGUUGGAUGGGCCCGCGGCCUAUCAGCUUGUUGGUGGGGUAAUGGCCUACCAAGGCGGCGACGGGUAGCCGGCCUGAGAGGGUGGACGGCCACAUUGGGACUGAGACACGGCCCAGACUCCUACGUGAGGCAGCAGUGGGGAAUAUUGCACAAUGGGCGGAAGCCUGAUGCAGCGACGCCGCGUGGGGGAUGACGGCCUUCGGGUUGUAAACUCCUUUCUCCAUCGACGAAGGGUUUCUGACGGUAGAUGGAGAAGAAGCACCGGCUAACUACGUG
This 465-nucleotide ribosomal RNA is filed under the name uncultured bacterium. RNAcentral's name for it is "partial 16S ribosomal RNA". It matches the Rfam family "Bacterial small subunit ribosomal RNA", at positions 28 to 507 of the family's 1533-position model. The record is from RNAcentral.